CGUCCAGACUCCUACGGGAGGCAGCAGUGGGGAAUAUUGCACAAUGGGGGAAACCCUGAUGCAGCGACGCCGCGUGAGUGAAGAAGUAUUUCGGUAUGUAAAGCUCUAUCAGCAGGGAAGAAGUUGACGGUACCUGAGUAAGAAGCCCCGGCUAACUACGUGCCAGCAGCCACGGUAAUACGUAGGGGGCAAGCGUUAUCCGGAUUUACUGGGUGUAAAGGGAGCGUAGACGGCAGUGCAAGUCUGAAGUGAAAGCCCCGGGCUUAACCCGGGAAUUGCUUUGGAAACUGUACGGCUGGAGUGCUGGAGAGGUAAGCGGAAUUCCUAGUGUAGCGGUGAAAUGCGUAGAUAUUAGGAGGAACACCAGUGGCGAAGGCGGCUUACUGGACAGUAACUGACGUUGAGGCUCGAAAGCGUGGGGAGCAAACAGGAUUAGAUACCCCGGUAC
Molecule: ribosomal RNA, 448 nt
Filed under: uncultured bacterium
Lineage: Bacteria
Description: bacterial SSU rRNA
Rfam family: Bacterial small subunit ribosomal RNA
Source: RNAcentral